Long non-coding RNA from Melanotaenia boesemani (Boeseman's rainbowfish), 718 nucleotides. RefSeq lists it as uncharacterized. NCBI's taxonomy places the organism in Eukaryota, Metazoa, Chordata, Actinopteri, Atheriniformes, Melanotaeniidae. The transcript has 3 exons. The record is from RefSeq and is a predicted model, not a curated record.
UGUAAAAUGUUUGACAAACACUUUAGAGACACAGCUUCACCGCUCUGCCUGAAUGAACACCACGUUUCAUCUACGUUUCUUAUCUGAAGCCACAUGAGUGAGAACAGAGCAGACUGAGCUGAAAUCUUUGCCUCUCUUAAAGGUUGUUGGUGGAGGAUGGUCUAUGUUCCUGUGGGUGUAGCAGCGCUCUCCAUCAUCGUUGUGUCCGUCAGCAUGUGGACGAGAACAAAAGGUUAGCAGUGAUGAGGAUGAUGAUGAAGAUGGUGUGAGAACUCACUGUGUUCACAUUGAUCAGGUUUUGUUGUUGGUGUGUUUGUCAGCUCUGAUUUAUAAUAACAAUUUAUCCUUAAAUAUCUGAAUAUGUUGUAAAUAAGUUUAUACUCAAAGUUAAAUCUGUUUUUUCUUUCUAUAUUUCAUGUAAGUUGGUACAAACUAUUUUUAAAGAAGCAAUUAAAAAUCUUAGAUAAUAACCCGGAAAUAAAUUUUCAUGUAUCUUUACAUUGAAAAUGUUUAUCAAAAUAUUUGUUAACAAUCAUGGUUUGUGUUUCAUGGUUUCAGAAAUAACUAAAGAUAUUAAAGACCUGAAUAAUAAAUAUGAUCUAUAUUUUCCAUGAAGUUCCACAGGAACAGUCUAAUGAUGAAGUAAUGAUGAACUGCUGAGUAAUUAGUCUGUAUGAUGCUUCUCUUAACUGGAAGAGACAUCAGAAUAAAGUUGUGU